UACGUGAAACCGUUCAGGGGUAAACCUGAGAAACCCAAAAGAUCGAAUGGGGAGAUUCAUCGUCAGCGGCGCUGGCUUCCAUGCGGUUCGCGAUGCUCGGGGCUUCGGCUCCGCGGCACGUGUCCGCUGUGGUAUGUCCGGCGUCGUCGGCGUGCACUUCUCCCCUAGUAGGACGUCGCGACCCGUUGGGUGUCGGUCUACGGCCUGGGUGGUCGCCUGUCACGUCGCUUCGGCGCACGUGGCAGACCCCCGGAUGCCCGACCGGCUGCCCGGCGGUACUCGCACGGUAUCGAGCCGCACUUGACUGCGUCAGGCCCGUCGCAAGCGCGGCCAGUGAUACCCGGAGGCGCGGACCUAGUGCCGUCCCCGGGCCUGGCCAGCUGUUGGUUGACGGUGUCCUCGGACAGGCUCUGUUGAAAUGAUACCGGUCGGCGACGCUACUGCUUUGGGUACUUUCAGGACCCGUCUUGAAACACGGACCAAGGAGUCUAACAUGUGCGCGAGUCAUUGGGACCGCAAGCCUAAAGGCGUAAUGAAAGUGAAGGUCGGCCUUGCGCCGACCGAGGGAGGAUGGGUCGCGUUACGAUGCGGCCCCGCACUCCCGGGGCGUCUCGUACUCAUUGCGAGUUGAGGCGCACCCAGAGCGUACACGUUGGGACAAGAAAGAUGGUGAACUAUGCCUGGUCAGGACGAAGUC
This 697-nucleotide ribosomal RNA is filed under the name Endopterygota sp. NZAC 03011204. RNAcentral describes it as "eukaryotic LSU rRNA". It matches the Rfam family "Eukaryotic large subunit ribosomal RNA", at positions 396 to 853 of the family's 3401-position model. Lineage: Eukaryota; Metazoa; Arthropoda; Insecta. The record is from RNAcentral.